GACGAACGCUGGCGGCAGGCCUAACACAUGCAAGUCGAACGCUGUAGCAAUACAGAGUGGCAGACGGGUGAGUAACGCGUGGGAACCUUCCCAGUGGUGCGGAAUAGCUCAGGGAAACUUGAGGUAAUACCGCAUAAGCCCCUAGGGGGAAAGAUUUAUCGCCAUUGGAUGGGCCCGCGUCGGAUUAGCUAGUUGGUGAGGUAAUGGCUCACCAAGGCAACGAUCCGUAGCUGGUUUGAGAGAAUGACCAGCCACACUGGGACUGAGACACGGCCCAGACUCCUACGGGAGGCAGCAGUGGGGAAUCUUGGACAAUGGGCGCAAGCCUGAUCCAGCCAUGCCGCGUGAGUGACGAAGGCCUUAGGGUUGUAAAGCUCUUUUGCCGGGGACGAUAAUGACGGUACCCGGAGAAUAAGUCCCGGCUAACUUCGUGCCAGCAGCCGCGGUAAUU
This 451-nucleotide ribosomal RNA is filed under the name uncultured bacterium. RNAcentral's name for it is "bacterial SSU rRNA". It matches the Rfam family "Bacterial small subunit ribosomal RNA", at positions 28 to 525 of the family's 1533-position model. The record is from RNAcentral.